AGUCACGCGUAAACGAUGAGUGCUAAGUGUUAGGGGGUUCCGCCCUUUAGUGCUGCAGCUAACGCAUUAAGCACUCCGCUGGGGAGUACGACCGCAAGGUUGAAACUCAAAGGAAUUGACGGGGGCCCGCACAAGCGGUGGAGCAUGUGGUUUAAUUCGAAGCAACGCGAAGAACCUUACCAGGUCUUGACAUCCUUUGAUCACUCUAGAGAUAGAGCUUUCCCUUCGGGGACAAAGUGACAGGUGGUGCAUGGUUGUCGUCAGCUCGUGUCGUGAGAUGUUGGGUUAAGUCCCGCAACGAGCGCAACCCUUAUUGUUAGUUGCCAUCAUUCAGUUGGGCACUCUAGCGAAACUGCCGGUGACAAACCGGAGGAAGGUGGGGAUGACGUCAAAUCAUCAUGCCCCUUAUGACCUGGGCUACACACGUGCUACAAUGGACAGUACAAUGAGCAGCGACACGGCGACGUGAAGCGAAUCUCAUAAAGCUGUUCUCAGUUCGGAUUGUAGGCUGCAACUCGCCUACAUGAAGCCGGAAUCGCUAGUAAUCGCGGAUCAGCACGCCGCGGUGAAUACGUUCCCGGGCCUUGUACACACCGCCCGUCACACCACGAAAGUUUGUAACACCCAAAGUCGGUGAGGUAACCUUCGGGAGCCAGCCGCCUAAGGUGGGAUAGAUGAUUGGGGUGAAGUCGUAACAAGGUAACCA
This 706-nucleotide ribosomal RNA is filed under the name uncultured Vagococcus sp. Its description in RNAcentral is "bacterial SSU rRNA". It matches the Rfam family "Bacterial small subunit ribosomal RNA", at positions 792 to 1502 of the family's 1533-position model. Lineage: Bacteria; Bacillati; Bacillota; Bacilli; Lactobacillales; Enterococcaceae. The record is from RNAcentral.